Molecule: ribosomal RNA, 162 nt
Filed under: Indigofera cassioides
Lineage: Eukaryota; Viridiplantae; Streptophyta; Magnoliopsida; Fabales; Fabaceae
Description: 5.8S ribosomal RNA
Rfam family: 5.8S ribosomal RNA
About the family: 5.8S ribosomal RNA (5.8S rRNA) is a component of the large subunit of the eukaryotic ribosome. It is transcribed by RNA polymerase I as part of the 45S precursor that also contains 18S and 28S rRNA. Functionally, it is thought that 5.8S rRNA may be involved in ribosome translocation.
Source: RNAcentral
AAAUGACUCUCGGCAACGGAUAUCUCGGCUCUUGCAUCGAUGAAGAACGUAGCGAAAUGCGAUACUUGGUGUGAAUUGCAGAAUCCCGUGAACCAUCGAGUCUUUGAACGCAAGUUGCGCCUGAAGCCAUUAGGUUGAGGGCACGCCUGCCUGGGUGUCACA